Molecule: transfer RNA, 75 nt
Filed under: Ramlibacter tataouinensis
Lineage: Bacteria; Pseudomonadati; Pseudomonadota; Betaproteobacteria; Burkholderiales; Comamonadaceae
Also listed under: 8 other names
Description: tRNA-Thr
Rfam family: tRNA
About the family: Transfer RNA (tRNA) molecules are approximately 80 nucleotides in length. Their secondary structure includes four short double-helical elements and three loops (D, anti-codon, and T loops). Further hydrogen bonds mediate the characteristic L-shaped molecular structure. tRNAs have two regions of fundamental functional importance: the anti-codon, which is responsible for specific mRNA codon recognition, and the 3' end, to which the tRNAs corresponding amino acid is attached (by aminoacyl-tRNA synthetases). tRNAs cope with the degeneracy of the genetic code in two manners: having more than one tRNA (with a specific anti-codon) for a particular amino acid; and 'wobble' base-pairing, i.e. permitting non-standard base-pairing at the 3rd anti-codon position.
Source: RNAcentral
GCCGAUUUAGCUCAGGGGUAGAGCAACCGCCUUGUAAGCGGUAGGUCGUCAGUUCGAAUCCGACAAUCGGCACCA